Paramuricea clavata is the source of this 558-nucleotide non-coding RNA. The record is from the annotation of a GenBank genome assembly. NCBI's taxonomy places the organism in Eukaryota, Metazoa, Cnidaria, Anthozoa, Malacalcyonacea, Plexauridae.
AUGAUGUUUAUCACAGAGGCGAAGCUACCGAAGAGGAAAAUUUGGAGGAAAUGGCGAGAACCGCAAACCCUGAAGAAAUUUCAAUUGACGAAGAUGAUGAUGAUGAAGAUGAGAAAAUUGGUAGUAAAAAAUUUGUGUAAAAUUCUGGUCAUCAAAGAUAAAGAGCAGUUGCAGCAGAGCUCGAGUGCGAGGAAAUUGCAAGAGGGUGGGAGAAGAAAUUUGCAGGAGAGUUCGAGGGGGGGGGGGUGGAAGUUAGGAGUUUGGAAUGGGGAAGUGCACGAGGGUCGGGGAGGGUGUGGGACGUUAGGAGGGUGGCAGAGGAAGGUCGCUGGAUGGUGGAGGACGUUUCGUUCGCGAGAUCCAAAGUUGUAUCCAAAAUUUUAGUAAAAUUUAUUAUAUUUGUUUGUAUUUUUUAGAAGUUCAACUCGAGCAGCAAACUAUUCCAUCCAAGGUAAUGUAAUAUGUAUGUAAAAGUGGUCUUCGUUAUCCAUUUUACUUUUUGUGUACUACUAAUAGGUCCGUUCAUUGAUAAGUUUGAUAUGUAGGACUACAGGGCAC